CUUCCUCUGUCUCUCUCGCCCUGGGUUCCGUGCCCCUGGAUCACCAGCUGCCAUGUCCUGAGGACACUUGGGCAGCCUGUGGGGAGAUCUACAUGACAAAGAAACAAGACCUGCCAGCAACCACGUAUAGAAGAUGGUUACAAUUGCACAGAGAUUGACGGUGGAAAGCCAGACAAAGGAGACUGAAGGCCUAAACUAAGGCAGUGGCGGGUGGUGAGCUGGACAGAAACUCACCUGAUGCUGAAUGGGAGGACUUACAAAUGAGGUUCUGCAUCAUUUGGACCAUGGGCACUUGGUGGGUGAUGAACCCCUUCACCUCAGAGCACGGCCAGCAGGCAGCGCGAGCUUGAUGUCAGCAAUCAGCCGAUGUUAAGGGAAAGACUGAAUUCUGCACAGAGAGAAGAUUUAGAGCUGGGAUGGCACAUGAAGAUUUGAUGAAGACUAGAGUUGACUAUGCCACAUGGGAAAUUAUUCGUGUGUAAAAGUGAGAUGCAAAUAUGGGUGAUGUUACAAUUGUAUUCAGAAUAAUUUCUUGUUAGUGCAGUCGAGUUGAUUCUAGCUCCUAGCAACCCCGUGUAUAGCAA
Molecule: long non-coding RNA, 584 nt
Filed under: Equus caballus (horse)
Lineage: Eukaryota; Metazoa; Chordata; Mammalia; Perissodactyla; Equidae
Description: lncRNA (ENSECAG00000050753.1)
Source: RNAcentral